RNAcentral lists this long non-coding RNA (353 nucleotides) under Rattus norvegicus (Norway rat). Its description in RNAcentral is "long non-coding RNA NONRATT007445". Lineage: Eukaryota; Metazoa; Chordata; Mammalia; Rodentia; Muridae. The record is from RNAcentral.
AAUGUAUUCAGGAGUUGGGCGGCCCUGGAGCUAUGGGGGUCGUGAACCACUGUUUCCUCAUCCCAAAGUCCUGCAUCGAUUCCUGUUAGCCUCCACCUCUGGUGAGGUCCCACGACCAUGUCACAUCUACCCACAGUGACAUGCCAGCAUCUCUGUGGUCAUCUGCUUCAGCUGCUACGCGUGUCUCCGCUUCUGCGGCUUCUCUGUAGCAGUGCCCUAGAAAUGGUAGGCCACAGAGCUACAGGAAGCCAGCGUGGCCAGAACACACAGGAUGAGCAGGUGCCUGGAGUAUUCUGUCCCUGAAGAGACAUAUAUAACAUUACUUCCUCCUCCAUAAAGUCCUAACAAUACCU